Long non-coding RNA from Thalassophryne amazonica, 561 nucleotides. RefSeq lists it as uncharacterized. NCBI's taxonomy places the organism in Eukaryota, Metazoa, Chordata, Actinopteri, Batrachoidiformes, Batrachoididae. The transcript has 3 exons. The record is from RefSeq and is a predicted model, not a curated record.
UACUAGUAAAUGAGAAACAAUUAGCUUUUUAAUACUAAACUACUAAUGGCCACUGUUGUCUUUAUUCAAAGGUUAUAAGAAGUAUCUGGACUUAAAAAUUAGUCCGAAGAAGCUUGUGAUGGGAGUGCCAUGGUAUGGGUAUGAUUACACCUGCCUCAGCAUAUCCAAGGAGGGUAUAUGUUCCAUUAAAAAAAUGUUUCUUUCCAUGGCGCCCCCUGCAGUGACAUAGUUGUAAAACCAAGAAGUUACAGCUGGAUCAUGAAGCACAUCAACACCUCAAUUUCUGGCAGGUUGUGGGACACAAAGCAGCAAGCUCCCAACUUCAAUUAUAAGAAUGAGCAAGAACAGAUCCAACAAGUUUGAUAUGAUGACCCUGAGAGCAUUUGUGCCAAGGCUGACUUUGUGACUCUCAAAGGGUUGAGAGGCAUUGGCAUGUGGAACGGCAACAUUCUGGACUACAGUGACAUACAUACCAGUGGCCAAGCAGCAGACUGCAAAAAUGUGGGAUGCUCUAGGAUGCUAGCCAGAAAGAACAUCAAGGCUGUAGACACAUAUGGUGCU